AAAGAUUUAUAAAUACAAUAAUAACAACCGGGACCGAAAGCUUAACGAGCUCUCUGGGGCACGGUGGGAGACCCACAAGGAUUGCACAAACACUCAGACCAUUGCAAACAACUACACUGCCAAUACAAUUUUUUGUCAUAUGCGGGUAUCGAACCCGCAACCGUCAGCGCAACUUCAACUAACUAGUGAUGUGACCGUUGCGCCAACGUGGCAUAUAUGUAUUGUAAUUAAUUAUGUACACAGUUAGGUACUUUUAAAAUAAUAAAAAUCACAGACAUUCUCUGAGUAAAUAACAGCAUGAUAUACUUAUAAUAUUACUUACUUAGACAGGAAAUGAACCAUGACUAAAGAAAAUCUCAUUAUGUCACAUGCUAAAAUAAAUUUGAAGUAAGGCGUCUUUCUGAUUACACCAGACAAUCAUCAAAUACUCAAUCUGCAAACCAUAACCGACUCUAAUAUAUUUAUUUACAUAGACGUUAAAUUAUUCUCAUUGCGUAAGCGUUAUAUUUAGUAAACAAUUUUACCUGUCCUAUAUACUCCUAUUAUGAAAUCCUCUAAUGAACUUUAUAAGAAUUCAUGAUAUUGCUAGAAAAAAUUGAAAGAGAAGACAUUAAUGCUUUCGAUGUGAAAUAAAGAAUGUAAAUUAAUACAUUUAAAUAUAAUUGAUAAGAUAUGUACUCAGUUAUUAGGUAGUCAAUGUAGCCGAAAUUUCCGAAACAUACCUACUAACUACCAGCUAGUUGUAAUAUCUAAGCUCUUAUUACUCUUAAUGUAUAAUUGUUUGUUUUUAACCGACUUCAAGGAAGGGGGACGUUACUCA
RNAcentral lists this unclassified non-coding RNA (820 nucleotides) under Melitaea cinxia (Glanville fritillary). Its description in RNAcentral is "misc RNA ENSMCXG00005014885.1". Lineage: Eukaryota; Metazoa; Arthropoda; Insecta; Lepidoptera; Nymphalidae. The record is from RNAcentral.